UCCCUGGUGGUCCAGUGGUUAAGACUCUGCACUUCCACUGCAGGGGGCACAGGUUCAAUCCCUGCUUGGGGAG
Non-coding RNA from Lipotes vexillifer (Yangtze River dolphin), 73 nucleotides. The record is from the annotation of a RefSeq genome assembly. Lineage: Eukaryota; Metazoa; Chordata; Mammalia; Artiodactyla; Lipotidae.